Molecule: ribosomal RNA, 497 nt
Filed under: uncultured bacterium
Lineage: Bacteria
Description: partial 16S ribosomal RNA
Rfam family: Bacterial small subunit ribosomal RNA
Source: RNAcentral
GACGAACGCUGGCGGCGUGCCUAAUACAUGCAAGUUGAGCGCUGAAGGUUGGUACUUGUACCAACUGGAUGAGCAGCGAACGGGUGAGUAACGCGUGGGGAAUCUGCCUUUGAGCGGGGGACAACAUUUGGAAACGAAUGCUAAUACCGCAUAAAAACUUUAAACACAAGUUUUAAGUUUGAAAGAUGCAAUUGCAUCACUCAAAGAUGAUCCCGCGUUGUAUUAGCUAGUUGGUGAGGUAAAGGCUCACCAAGGCGAGGAUACAUAGCCGACCUGAGAGGGUGAGCAGCCACAUUGGGACUGAGACACGGCCCAAACUCCUACAGGAGGCAGCAGUAGGGAAUCUUCGGCAAUGGACGAAAGUCUGACCGAGCAAGGCGGCGUGAGUGAAGAAGGUUUUCGGGUGGGAAAACUCGGUUGGUAGGGAAGAACGUUGGUGAGAGUGGAAAGCUCAACAAGUGACGGUAACUACCCAGAAAGGGACGGCUAACUACGUG